Molecule: long non-coding RNA, 681 nt
Filed under: Sorghum bicolor (sorghum)
Lineage: Eukaryota; Viridiplantae; Streptophyta; Magnoliopsida; Poales; Poaceae
Description: long non-coding RNA (SBIC_LNC018807)
Source: RNAcentral
AUAUUAUUUAUUAAAAGCAGAUAUUGCAUAUAUUUUUGGUGAGCCAAAAACUGUGUCAACAGCACCAUAGUCUAAGAAACCAUUUUGGACGCACUUGUUGGUACGCCUAGGUGAAGGGGCUCAAGUGGAUGCUCGGUUCGGUCUAUUUGGAGAUAGUGCUAAUCUUGGUGCAAGAUAGGAGCACGGUUUACAUGGAACAUACCAAAUGCUUGGACAUCAAUCUGGACGCACAUGAUGGAACUCCUAGAUGAUGUGUGUCAUAUGAAAUCUUGUUUCGGUCUAUUUGGAGACAGUGUUAGUUUCGGUGCAAGAUAGGUGCAAGGUCUACACAUAAUGCAGCAUAGGCUAAGAAACCAUUUUGGACGCACCCGAUGGUACUCCUAGGUAAAAGGCUCAAGUGAAAGCUCGGUUUGGUCUACUUAGAGAUAGUGCUAAUCUUGAUGCAAGAUAGAUGCACGGUCUUCAUGGAACGUACCAUAUGUUUAGAAAUUAAUUUGGACACACCUGAUAGAACUCCUUGAUGACGUGUGUCAUAUAGUAUCUCGCUUUGGUGUGCUUAGAGACAGUAUUAGUUUUGGUGCAAGAUAUGUGCACGGUUUGUGUCUAAUGCACCAAAGUCUAAGAAACCAUUUUGGAAGCACCUGUUGGAAGUCCUAGGUGAAGAGACUCAAGUGGAGGCUU